UCUAACGCAUGCUUCAAUCACCGACGCGUGCAGAGCUAGCCGUGCACUGGCGUCCAUGCAAGUGGCCAUGCACUGGAGCUUUCACACGCGGAUGUGUUAAAGCCAACCACCCCACCCGUCUAGCUGCGCACAUAUUUAAUGCAGUACACCCCCCACAACGCUGUAGAUGAAACAAGCUCCAUUGCAAACCACAUCGAAGGUUUCCUGAUCUCUCCCGGCGACGCCGCAGGCAGGCUCUGGCGCACAGCAAGGCUUUGAAUCAAAUCGAUGGGCGGAGAAGUUCAUCAAGAACGGGGCAACCAGCAAGACACAGGCUUUGAAUCAACUCCGGUCAUCAUGAACAGAAAGAGAAUGCAGCACGGAGAACCAGCAAUCCAGACGGGAUCAUCAAGCAGUGCGCAGGGUGUCUCGGGAGAAGAUAAACGCGCUACACAGAAAUCAAGACACGAAGCACGGUGAUGAUCAGGGAUCACGAUCACGAUGAGAUGAAAUACAGGAGCUAGGCAGCUUGGCUCAGAUUCUACUGUUAGCCAAGGUUCCAUUCAGUCACUCCCAUGUACUUUGUUUACUUCAAUCCUACUUCGGACAAACCCCAGGCAAGCUGUUUUUUAAUACUCACAAACUGUCGGAUCACCAGCAGUGAUAGAUCUAUUUAUAUUUUGUUGAUAA
Molecule: long non-coding RNA, 669 nt
Organism: Triticum aestivum (bread wheat)
Lineage: Eukaryota; Viridiplantae; Streptophyta; Magnoliopsida; Poales; Poaceae
Exons: 3
Source: RefSeq, a predicted model, not a curated record